AGUGGCGGACGGGUGAGUAACGCGUGGGUAACCUGCCUUAUACAGGGGGAUAACAGUUGGAAACGACUGCUAAUACCGCAUAAGCGCACGGUAUCGCAUGAUACAGUGUGAAAAACUCCGGUGGUAUAAGAUGGACCCGCGUUGGAUUAGCUAGUUGGCAGGGCAGCGGCCUACCAAGGCGACGAUCCAUAGCCGGCCUGAGAGGGUGAACGGCCACAUUGGGACUGAGACACGGCCCAGACUCCUACGGGAGGCAGCAGUGGGGAAUAUUGCACAAUGGGGGAAACCCUGAUGCAGCGACGCCGCGUGAAGGAAGAAGUAUCUCGGUAUGUAAACUUCUAUCAGCAGGGAAGAUAAUGACGGUACCUGACUAAGAAGCCCCGGCUAACUACGUGCCAGCAGCCGCGGUAAUACGUAGGGGGCAAGCGUUAUCCGGAUUUACUGGGUGUAAAGGGAGCGUAGACGGCGCAGCAAGUCUGAUGUGAAAGGCAGGGGCUUAACCCCUGGACUGCAUUGGAAACUGCUGUGCUUGAGUGCCGGAGGGGUAAGCGGAAUUCCUAGUGUAGCGGUGAAAUGCGUAGAUAUUAGGAGGAACACCAGUGGCGAAGGCGGCUUACUGGACGGUAACUGACGUUGAGGCUCGAAAGCGUGGGGAGCAAACAGGAUUAGAUACCCUGGUAGUCCACGCCGUAAACGAUGGAUACUAGGUGUGGGGGGUCUGACCCCCUCCGUGCCGCAGUUAACACAAUAAGUAUCCCACCUGGGGAGUACGAUCGCAAGGUUGAAACUCAAAGGAAUUGACGGGGGCCCGCACAAGCGGUGGAGUAUGUGGUUUAAUUCGAAGCAACGCGAAGAACCUUACCAGGGCUUGACAUCCCACUAACGAAGCAGAGAUGCAUUAGGUGCCCUUCGGGGAAAGUGGAGACAGGUGGUGCAUGGUUGUCGUCAGCUCGUGUCGUGAGAUGUUGGGUUAAGUCCCGCAACGAGCGCAACCCUUAUUGUUAGUUGCUACGCAAGAGCACUCUAGCGAGACUGCCGUUGACAAAACGGAGGAAGGUGGGGACGACGUCAAAUCAUCAUGCCCCUUAUGUCCUGGGCCACACACGUACUACAAUGGUGGUUAACAGAGGGAGGCAAUACCGCGAGGUGGAGCAAAUCCCUAAAAGCCAUCCCAGUUCGGAAUGCAGGCUGAAACCCGCCUGUAUGAAGUUGGAAUCGCUAGUAAUCGCGGAUCAGCAUGCCGCGGUGAAUACAAUCCCGGGCCUUGCACACACCGCCCGUCA
This 1283-nucleotide ribosomal RNA is filed under the name uncultured bacterium. RNAcentral's name for it is "bacterial SSU rRNA". It matches the Rfam family "Bacterial small subunit ribosomal RNA", at positions 94 to 1399 of the family's 1533-position model. The record is from RNAcentral.